Long non-coding RNA from Esox lucius (northern pike), 724 nucleotides. RefSeq lists it as uncharacterized. The record is from RefSeq and is a predicted model, not a curated record. Lineage: Eukaryota; Metazoa; Chordata; Actinopteri; Esociformes; Esocidae. The transcript is spliced from 2 exons.
AGGCUACGCUUUAUAAAGGCCAGAAUGAAGACCUAUAGAAUGGUCUCUUUCUCGAGCAAAAGUGAGACAAGCCACAUGGUAUAAUAUGAUAGAAAACCAAACAAACAGUCCCUCCACUCAGCAACCAAACUGAUCCAAGGACACCUGGUUCACAGAAACAAAUGAAAGCAUCUAUUGUUCUGCUCCUGGCUCACCUCACCUGGGCACCCAACCCCCAGCACCCCUCCCUAUGCAGCUCCCCAGGGGGAACCAAACAGCACCUCCACAAAAUGACUUGUCAAACCGAGCCAAGAAGGACGAAGCUACUACACAAUCUGCUGCACUUUAAUAGGCCACCUGUGCCCCUGCUCAAAAUGGAAAAAAUGUAAAGCUGAAACGCGUCUACUGUCGUUUCACUUCCUUCAAAAUCAUGUUUCCUGCCUGCCCGGCCUUUGAGGACAAAUCAAUAUGGUGACCCAGCCCUCCCAGUUUACUAAAUAGCAUUUGACGCAUUCUGAUGAAUUAUGAUUGGUGGACGGGAGCAUAGGCUAGUUCCUAGCCACUCUGUAUCUCACUUCAUAAAUACACUUGAAUGCUAGCUAGAUAUGAGUGUCAUAACAAUUCUAGGAUUUUUUUUGAUAAAUGUUCUUUAAAAAUAACAGUAUGCUAUUAAGUAUGUUGUCUGCACUUGGAAAUUCAUGAUACUGCCAUUUGUCCUAGAUAAAACCUAAAGUACCGCAACUUU